AAGCUUUAAACUUAUAAGGUAAGGAAAAUAACGAUUUGGGGUGAUGCCUGAAUUCUCACUGCUAAAGUGAGACAAAUUUUUGAGCUGGUAAAGGUUGUCCUUAAGGUGACCCGCCUACUUUGUGGGUACCUGGAGUCGUGAUCUGCCCA
Molecule: small nuclear RNA, 149 nt
Filed under: Carlito syrichta (Philippine tarsier)
Lineage: Eukaryota; Metazoa; Chordata; Mammalia; Primates; Tarsiidae
Description: U12 minor spliceosomal RNA (ENSTSYG00000031171.1)
Rfam family: U12 minor spliceosomal RNA
About the family: Although the U12 sequence is very divergent from that of U2, the two are functionally analogous.
Source: Rfam by way of RNAcentral